Long non-coding RNA from Oncorhynchus tshawytscha (Chinook salmon), 1575 nucleotides. The record is from Ensembl. Lineage: Eukaryota; Metazoa; Chordata; Actinopteri; Salmoniformes; Salmonidae.
CUUACAACACCAUUUUCCCCUCCUCACCCCUUACAAAUAAAAUCUAAUUGAUCACAUGCUGUGUAAACAAGAGGUGAGAACUUGGUUAUAUACACAGGGUACCAGGUAAUAACAUGGCUAUAUACACAGGGUACCAGGUAAUAACAUGGCUAUAUACACAGGGUACCAGGUAAUAACUAGGCUAUAUACACAGGGUACCAGGUAAUAACAUGGCUAUAUACACAGGGUACCAGGUAAUUACUUGGUUAUAUACACAGGGUACCAGGUAAUUACUUGGCUAUAUACACAGGGGUACCAGUUAAUUACUUGGCUAUAUACACAGGCUACCAGGUAAUAACUUGGCUAUAUACACAGGGUACCACUACCAAGUCAAUGUGUAGUGGUAGAGGUAAUAACAUGGCUAUAUACACAGGGUACCAGUACCAAGUCAAUGUGCAGGGGUACGAGGUAAUGGUACGAGGUAAUUUACCCCUACCUAUAUGUACAUAUAGGUAGGGGUAAAGUGACUCGGCAUCAGGAUAGAUAAUAGACAGUAGCAGCAGCGUACGUGAUGAGUCAAAAGAGUUAGUGCAAAGUGGGUCAGUGCAGAUAGUCCAGGUAGCUCUCUACAGUGGAGGUCCUGGAUGGCAGGGCCCCAGUGAUGGACCGGGCCUUCCUCUGACACCGCCUGGUAUAGAGGUCCUGGAUGGCAGGAAGCUCAGCCCCAGUGAUGUACCGGGCCUUUCCUCUGACACCGCCUGGUAUAGAGGUCCUGGAUGGCAGGGAGCUCGGCCCCAGUGAUGUACCGGGCCGGGCCCAGUACCGUCAUUAGCGCCUGGCGGUCGGUCGGAUGCCGAGCAGUCGCCAUACUAAGCGGUGAUACAGGCUGUUGAACGUUUUGAGGAUCUGAGGGCCCAUGCCAAAUCUUGGCAAUCUUGGCAAUCUUGGCAAUCUUCUCUUUAGAAGAGGCGUUGUGGUGCUGGUGUGUGUGGACCACGAUAGUUCCUUAGUGAUGUGGACACCGAGGAACUUAUAAAGCUCUCGCUCCACUACGGCCCCCUUCAAUGUGGAUGGGAGGCGUGCUCACUUCUCCAUUUCCUGUAGUCCACGAUCAGCUCCUUUUUGUCUUGUAACACCCCCCCCCUCUCCUUCAAAAUCGUCACCCUGACCUUCAAAAUAGGCUAUUUGGCAUUGUGAUGUCAUAAUCUCCCCAAAUCCGGUCUGAUCCUGUGGUGUUGUGAGGGAUUUAUUCUAUGGCUUCAUCUAUGGGGUUGGACCUGCCUCUCGUAGGCUGUUUCCUAGUAGCUCCUGAGCUUCGUUAUGAAAGAGAGAUCCGUGGUUCCAGCAGCUCGCUGCCUGUCAGUACUGCUGAGGGGGGGGGAAACACAUCUCUUCUUUGUUGUUGCUGCACUUUCCUCCUCCUGCUGCUGCUGCUGCUGCUGCCGCCACUGGCUGGGGGUGGGACUGCAGCGGUCAUCCGGGCUAUGGAGCAAGACUCAGGAUUUACAUAAUCCACACUGUGAAUUAACGACUGAAGUCUAAAUGCUCACAUUCUCCCUUGGAGAGGGGGAGGGGAGAGAGAGAGAGGGAGGGGAG